UCCCCAAUUUCUUAUACGCAUCCCUUUUACUUCGUAGGUGUUAGAGAGCGGAGUUUGAACAAUAUUUUCCCCCAAUCUCGUCACUCUCUUCUCUCCCAUACCUAACACCAUCACAAAGCAACCAUCGACGUUUACUGCAUCCACCUCCGACAUGGCAUCACCACCACUGCUACACCGCACCACUGUGCACCACAGAUUUAAACUUCAGCCAACGAAUCUCCCUCUAUUCUCCACUCGACUUUAGUUAGGAUGCACUCGAGUGGAUGGUAAUUUUUUUAAACAAGUGAGGAAAUUGCUAGUAUUGAUUAUAGAGUAUGAGAUAACACGAUUUAUUCAACCUAACAUGAAGUUUGCGGAAGAAGUUUAUCUACAAUUAAGUUUCAAAAAAAGUUUCUUUCGAAUUGACAUAUUUGAUUCAAAAAAGUUCAAAAAUAUUGAUAAAAAAACAAUGGAAAUUUUAUUAUGUUUUA
Long non-coding RNA from Lactuca sativa (garden lettuce), 470 nucleotides. RefSeq lists it as uncharacterized. Lineage: Eukaryota; Viridiplantae; Streptophyta; Magnoliopsida; Asterales; Asteraceae. The record is from RefSeq and is a predicted model, not a curated record.